Molecule: ribosomal RNA, 495 nt
Filed under: uncultured bacterium
Lineage: Bacteria
Description: partial 16S ribosomal RNA
Rfam family: Bacterial small subunit ribosomal RNA
Source: RNAcentral
GACGAACGCUGGCGGCGUGCCUAAUACAUGCAAGUAGAACGCUGAAGGAGGAGCUUGCUUCUCUGGAUGAGUUGCGAACGGGUGAGUAACGCGUAGGUAACCUGCCUGGUAGCGGGGGAUAACUAUUGGAAACGAUAGCUAAUACCGCAUAAUAGUAGAUGUUGCAUGACAUUUGCUUAAAAGGUGCAAUUGCAUCACUACCAGAUGGACCUGCGUUGUAUUAGCUAGUUGGUGGGGUAACGGCUCACCAAGGCGACGAUACAUAGCCGACCUGAGAGGGUGAUCGGCCACACUGGGACUGAGACACGGCCCAGACUCCUACGGGAGGCAGCAGUAGGGAAUCUUCGGCAAUGGACGGAAGUCUGACCGAGCAACGCCGCGUGAGUGAAGAAGGUUGUCGGAUCGUAAAGCUCUGUUGUAAGAGAAGAACGAGUGUGAGAGUGGAAAGUUCACACUGCGACGGUAUCUUACCAGAAAGGGACGGCUAACUACGUG